GGGAAAGAUUUUUUUUGCUGGUUUAGUUAUCCACCGUAUACUUUUGCAAUGUGCAGUUACAGAGAAAAGAAGUCGGAACCUACGGAAAUGAUGCAGCUGGAUGGAUAUACUGUAGAUUAUGUUGAACCAGUGCUUGAUCUUGAAGGUGGGAGGUUUUCUUUUCAAUGCGGUCAAGGAAGGUGAUAGACAAUGAAAAUGGGUGCCAUCUAUGGGUCAUGGCUAUGUACAGGGCUACCUCAUAAACCAACCCCCUUAUUCAACAUCAAACCAGCAAAAACUCUACCAUAUCUAAGUUACA
Parasteatoda tepidariorum (common house spider) is the source of this 298-nucleotide non-coding RNA. The record is from RefSeq and is a predicted model, not a curated record. NCBI's taxonomy places the organism in Eukaryota, Metazoa, Arthropoda, Arachnida, Araneae, Theridiidae.